CGGCAGUCCUCGGCGUGGGGCUGGGACGGGGCGAACAGUGGCCCCAUAGCCCACGUCCACCGGAGCCACAGGAUGGGAGCUUAUUUGCAAACAAGGUCUUUGCAGAUAUAAACUUAUUUUUUUAUUUUAUUUUUUUUGAGAUGGAGUCUUGCUCUGUCGCCUAGGCUGGAGUGCAAUGGUGCGAUCUUGGCUCGCUGCAGCCUCCAUCUCUCAGGUUCAAGUGAUUCUCGUGCCUCAGCCUCCGGAGUAGCUGGGACUACAGGCACCUGCCACCACGCCCGGCUAUUUUUUUGUAUUUUUAGUAGAGAUGGGGUUUCACUGUGUUAUCCAGGAUGGUCUCGAUCUCCUGACCUCGUGAUCCGCCCGCCUCAGCCUCCCAAAGUGCUGGGAUUACAGGUGUGAGCCACUGCGCCCGGCCUUGGAUAAUUUUUUUCUAUUUUUAGUAAAGGCAAGGUUUCGCCAUGUUGGCCAGGCUGGUCUCGAACUCCUGACCUCAAGCAAUCCGCCCGCCUCAACCUCCCCAAGUGCUGGGAUGACAGGCGUGAGCCACCGCACAGGCCUAAUGAAGGUAAAGAUCUUGAGAUGAGAUCAUCCUUGAUCUGGGUGGGCCCUAAAUCCCUUAACAGAUGUCCUCACGAGGCACAGAGACACAGAGAGAAGACGGCCACAUGGAGUCAGAGGCAGAGGCUGGAGGGAUGUGGCCACGAGCCGAGGACCCCUGGAGUCCCCAGGAGCUGGUCGAGAGUCUCACUCUUGUCGCCCAGGCUGGAGGGCAAUGGCAUGAUCUUGGUUCACUGCAACCUCCGCCUCCCACGUUCAAGUGAUUCUCCUGCCUCAGCCUCCCAAGUAGCUGGAUUACAGGUGUCUGCUACCAUGCCCGGCUAAUUUUUGUAUUUUUGUAGAGACCGGGUUCCACCAUGUUGGGCAGGCUGGUCUUGAACUCCUGACCUCAGGUGAUCCACCCGCCUCGGCUUCCCAAAGUGCUGGGAUUACAGGCGUGAGCCAUCGCGCCUGGCCAUAAAAAAUAUUUUCAAAAAGUGAGCAAACAAUUUGAACAGACACCAAUAAUGCAGAUACACGGAUGACAAAAAAAGAUGAGAAAACGCUCAUCAUUACUCAUCAGGGAGACGCCGAUGAAGAGCACAGGGCAGACCCUGCACACCCCCCCAGGAUGACGGAACGCCUGUGGUCCUGCCCGGGCCAUCAGUGGAGAAGCCAUCCUUGGAAUCUGGAAUCCAUCUGGCGGGUGCUACUCAGCAGCUGACAGAAGCCACCGAUGCCUGCAACGCUGGGGUAAGUCUCAGAAUAAUGAUGCCAGGCCGGGCGCGGUGGCUCACGCCUGUAAUCCCAGCACUUUGGGAAGCCGAGGCGGGAGGAUCACGAGGUCAGGAGAUCAAGACCGUUGUGGCUAACACGGUGAAAUCCCG
This 1427-nucleotide long non-coding RNA is filed under the name Homo sapiens (human). RNAcentral describes it as "long non-coding RNA NONHSAT213083.1". Lineage: Eukaryota; Metazoa; Chordata; Mammalia; Primates; Hominidae. The record is from RNAcentral.